This 492-nucleotide ribosomal RNA is filed under the name uncultured bacterium. RNAcentral's name for it is "partial 16S ribosomal RNA". It matches the Rfam family "Bacterial small subunit ribosomal RNA", at positions 29 to 507 of the family's 1533-position model. The record is from RNAcentral.
AGUGAACGCUGGCGGUAGGCCUAACACAUGCAAGUCGAACGGCAGCACAGUAAGAGCUUGCUCUUACGGGUGGCGAGUGGCGGACGGGUGAGGAAUACAUCGGAAUCUACUUUUUCGUGGGGGAUAACGUAGGGAAACUUACGCUAAUACCGCAUACGACCUACGGGUGAAAGCAGGGGAUCUUCGGACCUUGCGCGAUUGAAUGAGCCGAUGUCGGAUUAGCUAGUUGGCGGGGUAAAGGCCCACCAAGGCGACGAUCCGUAGCUGGUCUGAGAGGAUGGUCAGCCACACUGGAAGUGAGACACGGUCCAGACUCCUACGGGAGGCAGCAGUGGGGAAUAUUGGGCAAUGGGCGCGAGCCUGAUCCAGCCAUACCGCGUGGGUGAAGAAGGCCUUCGGGUUGUAAAGCCCUUUUGUUGGGAAAGAAAAGCAGCAGGUUAAUACCCCGCUGUUCUGACGGUACCCAAAGAAUAAGCACCGGCUAACUUCGUG